This 2147-nucleotide ribosomal RNA is filed under the name Sporosarcina contaminans. RNAcentral's name for it is "bacterial LSU rRNA". It matches the Rfam family "Bacterial large subunit ribosomal RNA", at positions 129 to 2266 of the family's 2925-position model. The record is from RNAcentral. Lineage: Bacteria; Bacillati; Bacillota; Bacilli; Caryophanales; Caryophanaceae.
CACUGCCCGUAAUGGGGUAGUACGUUUACGUGAAUUCAUAGCGUAAAYGAGGCACACCCGGAGAACUGAAACAUCUAAGUACCCGGAGGAAGAGAAAGAAACAUCGAUUCCCUAAGUAGCGGCGAGCGAAACGGGAAGAGCCCAAACCAGGAAGCUUGCUUCCUGGGGUUGUAGGACACUCAGCACGGAGUUACAAAAGGAUGGGUUAGGCGAAGCGACCUGGAAAGGUCCGCCAUAGCGGGUAAAAGCCCCGUAGCCGAAAGCCCAGCCACUCCUGAGUGGAUCCUGAGUACGGCGGAACACGUGAAAUUCCGUCGGAAUCCGGGAGGACCAUCUCCCAAGGCUAAAUACUCCCUAGUGACCGAUAGUGAACCAGUACCGUGAGGGAAAGGUGAAAAGCACCCCGGAAGGGGAGUGAAAGAGAACCUGAAACCGUGUGCCUACAAGUUGUCAGAGCCCGUUAAUGGGUGAUGGCGUGCCUUUUGUAGAAUGAACCGGCGAGUUACGAUUCCAUGCAAGGUUAAGCAGCGAAUGCGGAGCCGCAGCGAAAGCGAGUCUGAAUAGGRCGAAUGAGUAUGGGGUCGUAGACCCGAAACCAGGUGAUCUACCCAUGUCCAGGGUGAAGGUAAGGUAACACUUACUGGAGGCCCGAACCCACGUACGUUGAAAAGUGCGGGGAUGAGGUGUGGGUAGCGGUGAAAUUCCAAUCGAACCUGGAGAUAGCUGGUUCUCUCCGAAAUAGCUUUAGGGCUAGCCUCAAACGAAAGAAUCUCGGAGGUAGAGCACUGUUUGGACUAGGGGCCCAUCCCGGGUUACCGAAUUCAGACAAACUCCGAAUGCCGAUGAUUUAUGUUUGGGAGUCAGACUGCGGGUGAUAAGAUCCGUAGUCGAGAGGGAAACAGCCCAGACCGCCAGUUAAGGUCCCCAAGUAUCCGUUAAGUGGAAAAGGAUGUGGCGCUGCCCAGACAACCAGGAUGUUGGCUUAGAAGCAGCCAUCAUUUAAAGAGUGCGUAAUAGCUCACUGGUCGAGUGGCGCUGCGCCGAAAAUGUACCGGGGCUAAACGGAUCACCGAAACUGCGGAUUGACACCAUUGGUGUCAGUGGUAGGAGAGCGUUCCAAGGGCGUUGAAGCCAGAUCGUAAGGACUGGUGGAGCGCUUGGAAGUGAGAAUGCCGGUAUGAGUAGCGAAAGAAGGGUGAGAAUCCCUUCCACCGAAUGCCUAAGGUUUCCUGAGGAAGGCUCGUCCGCUCAGGGUUAGUCGGGACCUAAGUCGAGGCCGAAAGGCGUAGACGAUGGAGAACAGGUUGAUAUUCCUGUACCACCUCCCCGCCGUUAUCAGCAAUGGGGGGACGCAGUAGGAUAGGGUGAGCGCGCUGUUGGUCAUGCGCGUCUAAGCAGUGAGGUGUGGAACGAGGCAAAUCCCGUUCCUAUAACACUGGGCUGUGAUGGCAAGGGGAAAUGUCCCCGGAGUCCCUGAUUUCACACUGCCAAGAAAAGCCUCUAGCGAGGCGGGAGGUGCCCGUACCGCAAACCGACACAGGUAGGCGAGGAGAGAAUCCUAAGGUGAUCGAGAGAACUCUCGUUAAGGAACUCGGCAAAAUGACCCCGUAACUUCGGGAGAAGGGGUGCUCUGAUAGGGUGUUAAAGCCCGAGAGAGCCGCAGUGAAUAGGCCCAGGCGACUGUUUAGCAAAAACACAGGUCUCUGCAAAACCGUAAGGUGACGUAUAGGGGCUGACGCCUGCCCGGUGCUGGAAGGUUAAGAGGAGAGGUCAGCGCAAGCGAAGCUUCGAAUUGAAGCCCCAGUAAACGGCGGCCGUAACUAUAACGGUCCUAAGGUAGCGAAAUUCCUUGUCGGGUAAGUUCCGACCCGCACGAAAGGCGUAACGAUCUGGGCACUGUCUCAACGAGAGACUCGGUGAAAUUAUAAUAUGCGUGAAGAUGCGCAUUACCCGCGACAGGACGGAAAGACCCCGUGGAGCUUUACUGUAGCCUGAUAUUGAAUUCCGGUGCAGCCUGUACAGGAUAGGUAGGAGCCUUGGAAUCCGGAGCGCCAGCUUCGGAGGAGGCAAUGGUGGGAUACUACCCUGGCUGUAUUGGACUUCUAACCCUUGCCCGUGAUCCGGGCAGGAGACAGUGUCAGGUGGGC